AAUGACGUCUGUUCAGAGAGCCAAUCCCAGUCUCGCGACUCCUGCUUGCUGGGCGCGGCUUGGGCCUCCAGGCUGCGCAGCGCAGCCGCUAUCGGGCGGACUGCAGUUCUUGCCGAGCAGUCGCAAUGAUUUGUAUGACAGCUGCUAGCCCAAGAGAGAGUUCCAGAAGAGGGCUACCUAACAGGUGCUGUGGCAUUUAGAAGAGGAAUGGAGCCAUUGUCAACGCACAGCUUGCAGGGGAGCAGGAGAGUCAGUCUAAGAAGGAAAUGUGAUGAUGGAAACAGAGGUUGGAAGAUGGAAGAGGACCCAGAGUCAAGGAAUGCAGGUAGAAAAGAAAAGCCUGGAUUCUCCCCUAAAGCCUCCAGAUGGAACACAGCCCUGCCUCCACCUUGAUUUCAGGACUUCUUACCCCAAGAAUCGUAAGCUAAUACAUUUGUUUUUGUUUUUGUUUUUGUUUUCUUUGAGAUGGAGUCUUGCUCUGCUGCCCAGGCUGGAGUGCAGUGGACUGAUCUUGGCUCACUGCAGCGUCCAUCUUCCGGGUUCAAGCGAUUCUCCUGCUUCAGCCUCUCAAGUAGCUGGGAUUACAGGCGCCCACCACACCCGGCUAAUUUUUUUUUUUUUUAAUACUUUAAGUUUUAGGUUACAUGUGCACAACGUGCAGGUUUGUUACAUAUGUAUACAUGUGCCAUGUUGGUGUGCUGCACCCAUUAACUCGUCAUUUAGCAUUAGGUAUCUCUCCUAAUGCUAUCCCUCCCCCCUCCCCCCACCCCACAACCGUCCCCAGUGUGUGAUGUUCCCCUUCCUGUGUCCAUGUGUUCUCAUUGUUCAAUUCCCACCUAUGAGUGAGAACAUGCGGUGAUUGGUUUUUUCUCCUUGCAAUAGUUUGCUGAGAAUGAUGGUUUCCAGCUUCAUUCAUGUCCCUACAAAGGACAUGAACUCAUCAUUUUUUAUGGCUGCAUGGUAUUCCAUGGUGUAUAUGUGCCACGUUUUCUUAAUCCAGUCUAUCAUUGUUGAAUAUUUGGGUUGUUUCCAAGUCUUUCCUAUUGUGAAUAAUGCCACAAUAAACAUACGUGUGCAUGUGUCUUUAUAGCAGCAUGAUUUAUAAUCCUUUGGGUAUAUACCCAGUAAUGGGAUGGCUGGGUCAAAUGGUAUUUCUAGUUCUAGAUCCCUGAGGAAUUGCCACACUGACUUCCACAAUGGUUGAACUAGUUUACAGUCCCACCAACAGUGUAAAAGUGUUCCUAUUUCUCCACAUCCUCUCCAGGACCUGUUGUUUCCUGACUUUUUAAUGAUCACCAUUCUAACUGGUGUAAGAUGGUAUCUCAUUGUGGUUUUGAUUUGCAUUUCUCUGAUGGCCAGUGAUGAUGAGCAUUUUUUCAUGUGUUUUUUGGCUGCAUAAAUGUCUUCUUUUGAGAAGUAUCUGUUCAUAUCCUUUGCCCGUAUUUUGAUGGGGUUGUUUGUGUUUUUCUUGUAAAUUUGUUUGAGUUCAUUGUAGAUUCUGGAUAUUAGCCCUUUGUCAGAUGAGUAGAUUGCAAAAGUUUUCUCCCAUUCUGUAGGUUGCCUAUUGACUCUGAUGGUAGUUUCUUUUGCUGUGCAGAAGCUCUUUAGUUUAAUUAGAUCCCAUUUGUCAAUUUUGGCUUUUGUCGCCAUUGCUUUUGGUGUUUUAGACAUGAAGUCCUUGCUCAUGCCUAUGUCCUGAAUGGUAUUGCCUAGAUUUUCUUCUAGGGUUUUUAUGGUUUUAGGUCUAACAUGUAAGUCUUUAAUCCAUCUUGAAUUAAUUUUUGUAUAAGGUGUAAGAAAGGGAUCCAGUUUCAGCUUUCUACAUAUGGUUAGCCAGUUUUCCCAGCACCAUUUAUUUAUUUAUUUAUUUUUAUUUAUUUAUUUUUUUUUUUUUUGAGACGGAGUCUCGCUCUGUCGCCCAGGCCAGACUGCGGACUGCAGUGGCGCAAUCUCAGCUCACUGCAAGCUCCGCUUCCCGGGUUCACGCCAUUCUCCUGCCUCAGCCUCCCGAGUAGCUGGGACUACAGGCGCCCGCCACCGCGCCCGGCUAAUUUUUUGUAUUUUUAGUAGAGACGGGGUUUCACCUUGUUAGCCAGGAUGGUCUCGAUCUCCUGACCUCAUGAUCCACCCGCCUCGGCCUCCCAAAGUGCUGGGAUUACAGGCGUGAGCCACCGCGCCCGACCAGCACCAUUUAUUAAAUAGGGAAUCCUUUCCCCAUUGUUUGCUUUUGUCAGGUUUGUCAAAGAUCAGAUAGUUGUAGAUAUGUGGCAUUAUUUCUGAGGGCUCUGUUCUGUUCCAUUGGUCUGUAUCUCUGUUUUGGUACCAGUACCAUGCUGUUUUGGUUACUGUAGCCUUGUAGUAUAGUUUGAAAUCAGGUAGCAUGAUGCCUCCAGCUUUGUUCUUUUGGUUUAGGAUUGACUUGGCAAUGUGGGCUCUUUUUUGGUUCCAUAUGAACUUUAAAGUAGUUUUUUCCAAUUCUGUGAAGAAAGUCAUUGGUAGCUUGAUGGGGAUGGCAUUGAAUCUAUAAAUUACCUUGGGCAGUAUGGUCAUUUUCAUGAUAUUGAUUCUUCCCACCCAUGAGCAUGGAAUGUUCUUCCAUUUGUUUGUAUCCUCUUUUAUUUCACUGAGCAGUGGUUUGUAGUUCUCCAUGAAGAGGUCCUUCAUAUCCCUUGUAAGUUGGAUUCCUAGGUAUUUUAUUCUCUUUGAAGCAAUUGUGAAUGGGAGUUCACUCAUGAUUUGGCUCUCUGUUUGUCUGUUGUUGGUGUAUAAGAAUGCUUGUGAUUUUUGCACAUUGAUUUUGUAUCCUGAGACUUUGCUGAAGUUGCUUAUCAGCUUAAGGAGAUUUUGGGCUGAGACGAUGGGGUUUUCUAGAUAUACAAUCAUGUCAUCUGCAAACAGGGACAAUUUGACUUCCUCUUUUCCUAAUUGAAUGCCCUUUAUUUCCUUCUCCUGCCUGAUUGCCCUGGCCAGAACUUCCAACACUAUGUUGAAUAGGAGUGGUGAGAGGGGGCAUCCCUGUCUUGUGCCCGUUUUCAAAGAGAAUGCUUCCAGUUUUUGCCCAUUCAGUAUGAUACUGGCUGUGGAUUUGUCAUAGAUAGCUCUUAUUAUUUUGAGAUACGUCCCAUCAGUACCUAAUUUAUUGAGAGUUUUUAGCAUGAAGGGCUGUUGAAUUUUGUCAAAGGCCUUUUUUGCAUCUAUUGAGAUAAUCAUGUGGUUUUUGUCUUUGGUUCUUUUUAUAUGCUGGAUUACAUUUAUUGAUUUAGCGUAUGUUGAACCAGCCUUGCAUCCCAGGGAUGAAGCCCACUUGAUCAUGGUGGAUAAGCUUUUUGAUGUGCUGCUGGAUUUGGUUUGCCAGUAUUUUACUGAGGAUUUUUGCAUCAAUGUUCAUCAAGGAUAUUGGUCUAAAAUUCUCUUUGUUGGUUGUGUCUCUGCCAGGCUUUGGUAUCAGGAUGAUGCUGGCCUCAUAAAAUGAGUUAGGGAGGAUUCCCUCUUUUUCUAUUGAUUGGAAUAGUUUCAGAAGGAAUGGUACCAGCUCCUCCUUGUACCUCUGGUAGAAUUCGGCUGUGAAUGCAUCUGGUCCUGGACUUUUUUUGGUUGGUCAGCUAUUAAUUAUUGCCUCAAUUUCAGAGGCUGUAAUUGGUCUAUUCAGAGAUUCAACUUCUUCCUGGUUUAGUCUUGGGAGGGUGUAUGUGUCGAAGAAUUUAUCCAUUUCUUCUAGAUUUUCUAGUUUAUUUGCAUAGAGGUGUUUAUAGUAUUCUCUGAUGGUAAUUUGUAUUUCUGUGGGAUCAGUGGUGAUAUCCCCUUUGUCAUUUUUUAUUGCGUCUAUUUGAUUCUUCUCUCUUUUCUUCUUUAUUAGUCUUGCUAGCGGUCUAUCAAUUUUCUUGAUCUUUUCAAAAAACCAGCUCCUGGAUUCAUUGAUUUUUUGAAGGGUUUUUUGUGUCUCUAUUUCCUUCAGUUCUGCUAUGAUGUUAUUUCUUGCCUUCUGCUAGCUUUUGAAUGUGUUUGCUCUUGCUUCUCUAGUUCUUUUAAUUGUAAUGUCAGAGUGUCAGUUUUAGAUCUUUCCUGCUUUCUCUUGUGGGCAUUUAGUGCUAUAAAUUUCCCGCUACACACUGCUUUGAAUGUGUCCCAGAGAUUAUGGUAUGUUGUGUCUUUGUUCUCAUUGGUUUCAAAGAACAUCUUUAUUUCUGCCUUCAUUUUGUUAUGUACCCAGUAGUCAUUCAGGAGCAGGUUGUUCAGUUUCCAUGCAGUUGAGCAGUUUUGAGUGAGUUUCUUAAUCCUGAGUUCUAGUUUGAUUGCACUGUGGUCUGAGAGACAGUUUGUUAUAAUUUCUGUUCUUUUACAUUUGCUGAGGAGUGCUUUACUUCCAAGUAUGUGGUCAAUUUUGGAAUAGGUGUGAUGUGGUGCUGAAAAAAAUGUAUAUUCUGUUGAUUUGGGGUGGAGAGUUCUGUAGAUGUGUAUUAGGUACGCUUGGUGCAGAGCUGAGUUCAAUUCCUGUAUAUCCUUGUUAACUUUCUGUCUCGAUCUGUCUAAUGUUGACAGUGGGGUGUUAAAGUCUCCCAUUAUUAUUGUGUGGGAGUCUAAGUCUCUUUGUAGGUCACUCAGGACUUGCUUUAUGAAUCUGGGUGCUCCUGUAUUGGGUGCAUAUAUAUUUAGGAUAGUUAGCUCUUCUUGUUGAAUUGAUCCCUUUACCAUUAUGUAAUGGCCUUCUUUGUCUCUUUUGAUCUUUGUUGGUUUAAAGUCUGUUUUAUCAGAGACUAGGAUUGCAACCCCUGCCUUUUCUUCUUUUCCAUUUGCUUGGUAGACCUUCCUCCAUCCCUUUAUUUUGAGCCUAUGUGUGUGUCUGCACGUGAGAUGGGUUUCCUGAAUACAGCACACUGAUGGGUCUUGAUUCUUUAUCCAAUUUGCCAGUCUUUGCCUUUUAAUUGGAGCAUUUAGCCCAUUUACAUUUAAGGUUAGUAUUGUUAUGUGUGAAUUUGAUCGUGUCAUUAUGAUGUUAGCUGGUUAUUUUGCUCAUUAGUUGAUGCAGUUUCCUCCUAGCCUUGAUGGUCUUUACAAUUUUGCAUGUUUUUGCAGUGGCUGGUACCGGUUUUUCCUUUCCAUGUUUAGCGCUUCCUUCAGGAGCUGUUUUAGGGCAGGCCUGGUGAUGACAAAAUCUCUCAGCAUUUGCUUGUCUGUAAAGUAUUUUAUUUCUCCUUCACUUAUGAAGCUUAGUUUGGCUGGAUAUGAAAUUCUGAGUUGAAAAUUAUUUUCUUUAAGAAUGUUGAAUAUUGGCCCCCACUCUCUUCUGGCUUGUAGAGUUUCUGCUGAGAGAUCCGCUGUUAGUCUGAUGGGCUUCCCUUUGAGGGUAACCCGACCUUUCUCUCUGGCUGCCCUCAACAUUUUUUCCUUCAUUUCAACUUUGGUGAAUCUGACAAUUAUGUGUCUUGGUGUUGCCCUUCUCGAGGAGUAUCUUUGUGGCAUUCUCUGUAUUUCCUGAAUGUGAAUGUUGGCCUGCCUUGCCAGAUUGGGGAAGUUCUCCUGGAUAAUAUCCUGCAGAGUGUUUUCCAACUUGGUUCCAUUCUCCCUGUCGCUUUCAGGUACACCAAUCAGACGUAGAUUUGGUCUUUUCACAUAGUCCCAUAUUUCUUGGAGGCUUUGUUUGUUUCUUUUUAUUCUUUUUUCUCUAAACUUCUCUUCACGCUUCAUUUCAUUCAUUUUGUCUUCCAUCACUGAUACCCUUUCUUCCAGUUGAUCGCAUCGGUUACUGAGGCUGUGCAUUCGUCAUGUAGUUCUCGUGCUGUGGUUUUCAGCUCAGUCAGGUCCUUUAAGGACUUCUCUGCAUUGGUUAUUCUAGUUAUCCAUUUGUCUAAUUUUUUUUCAAAGUUUUUAACUUCUUUGCCAUUGGUUCGAACUUCCUCCUUUAGCUCGGAGUAGUUUGAUCUUCUGAAGCCUUCUUCUCUCAGCUCGUCAAAGUCAUUCUCCAUCCAGCUUUGUUCCAUUGCUGGUGAGGAGCUGUGUUCCUUUAGAGGAGGAGAAGCACUCUGAUUUUUAGAGUUUCCGGUUUUUCUGCUCUGUUUUUUCCCCAUCUUUGUGGUUUUAUCUACCUUUGGUCUUUGAUGAUGGUGACUUACAGAUGGGUUUUUGGUGUGGAUGUCCUUUCUGUUUGUUAGUUUUCCUUCUAACAGUCAGGACCCUCAGCUGCAGGUCUGUUGGAGUUUGCUGGAGGUCUACUCCAGACCUUGUUUGCCUGGGUAUCAGCAGCGGUGGCUGGAGAACAGCAGAUAUUGGUUAACUGCAAAUGUUGCUGCCUGAUCGUUCCUCUGGAAGUUUUGUCUCAGAGGAGUACCUGGCCGUGUGAGGUGUCAGUCCGCCCCUACUGGGGAGUGCCUCCCAGUUAGGCUACUUGGGGGUCAGGGACCCACUUGAGGAGGCAGUCUGCCCGUUCUCAGAUCUCAAGCUGCAUGCUGGGAGAACCACUACUCUCUUCAAAGCUGUCAGACAGGGACAUUUAAGUCUGCAGAGGCUAUUGCUGUCUUUUGUUUGUCUGUGCCCUGCCCCCAGAGGUGGAGCCUACAGAGGCAGGCAGGCCUCCUUGAUCUGUGGUAGGCUCCACCCAGUUCGAGCUUCCUGACCUCUUUGUUUACCUACUCAAGCCUGGGCAAUGGCGGGCACCCCUCCCGCAGCCUCACUGCCGCCUUGCAGCUUGAUCUCAGACUGCUGUGCUAGCAAUGAGUGAGGCUCUGUAGGCAUAGGAACCUCCGAGCCAGGUGAGGAAUAUAAUCUCCUGGUGUGCCGUUUGUUAAGCCCAUUGGAAAAGUGCAGUAUUGGGGUGAGAGUGACCCAAUUUUCCAGGUGCCAUGUGUCACCCCUUUCUUUGACUAGGAAAGGGAAUUCCCUGACCCCUUGCGCUUCCUGGGUGAGGUGAUGCCUCGCCCUGCUUCGGCUCAUGCACGGUGCGCUGCACCCACUGUCCUGCACCCACUGUCCAGCACUCCCCAGUGAGAUGAACCCGGUACCUCAGUUGGAAAUGCAGAAAUCACCCGUCUUCUGCGUCGCUCACGCUGGGAGCUGUAGACUGGAGCUGUUCCUAUUUGGCCAUCUUGGCUCCACCCCACACCCGGCUAAUUUUUUUGUAUUUUUAGUUGAGACGAGGUUUUGCCAUGUGCUGGCUAGGUUGUUCUCGAACUCCUAACUUCAGGUGAUCCACCUGCCUUGGCCUCCCGAAGUGCUGCGAUUACAGGUCUGAGCCACUGCACCCAGCCAUUUGGGUUGUUGUAAGCCUUCAAGUUUGUGACACCUUGUUAGAGAAGCAAUAGGAAACUAAUACAAGUUCUAUUCACUGCAUCUUAAGAGAAGAAAGCUGGGCAGGUAAGGCAGGGACAGUUUGUUGAUUCCUUAUUUAAUAAGUAGCUAUUGAGCACCCCUCCUCACUUUUUUGGUGGAACAGUGUGUAGUAAUAUGAGGUAAAGAACAUAAUUUGUGCUCUCAGAAGCUUACUAGUUAGCAGCUACAGCUAUGGCUAGUGAAUGGCCAGCCUUGAAUUCAAGGGGGUAGGAUUUGCACCUGACUCGAGACCAAUGCUUAGACUUCCAGAUGCAACAGCUGGGAGCCUCCUUCCAGGAUUUGAUCUCAACACAGACAAGAGUGUUUAUUCACUCAUUUAUUAGUUGACUCAACCACCAUUUAGUGUAUACGUUGAUAUAUCCAUUUUAGCAAAGAAAACAGGGAGGACAUGAAAGGGGAACUUUUACAUCUUAAUGUAAUUUUUUUAAAAAAGCAGUAGGAUUAAGUGUGUGUGUGUAAUUUAAUUUGAAGAUUUCCAGUAUUUUUUCAUGUUUUAAUUAAUUGUUUUGAGACAAGGUCUCACUGUCUCACCCAGGCUAGAGUGCACAGGUAAAAUCAUAGCUCACUGUAGCCUCAAUCUCCUGGCCUCAAGUAGAAUCUCCCACCUUAGCCUCCCAAAUAGCUAUGACUACAGGCAUGUGCCACCACACCCAGGCAAUUUAUUUUAUUUUAUUUUUUUAUUUUAGAAAAGGGUUCUCACUGUGUUUCCCAGGCUGAUCAUGAUCUCUUGGCAUCAAGCAGUCCUCCCACCUCAGCCUCCAAAGUGCUGGGAUUACAGGUCAUCAAGCAGUCCUCCAGCCUCAGCCUCCAAAGUGCUGGGAUUACAGGUGUGUGCCAUGGCAUCCAGCCCAGUAUUUUUUUUUUUUUUUAAUUAAAAAAAUGGUGGCUCACGCCUGUAAUCCCAACACUUUGGGAGGCCGAGGUGGGUGGACCACGAGGUCAGGAGUUUGAGACCAGCCUGGCCAACAUGGUGACACCCCAUCUCUACCAAAAUACAAAAAAAUUAGCCAGGCAUGGUGGCGUGCACCUGUAAUCCCAGCUACUCUGGAGGCUGAGGCAGAAGAAUUGCUUAAAUCCCAGGGGCAGAGGUUGCAUGAGCCAAGAUCAUGCCACUGCACUCCAGCCUGGGCGACAGAGCAAGACUCCGUCUCAGGGGAAAAAAAAAAAAAGGAAAUAUUUUCCGAAAGCUAGUCUGAGCCAGGCAGUAUGAAAGACACUGAAGAUAAAAGAGCAGUCUUGAACUCUACACACUUACAGCUAAAUAGGAGUGACAAGUGAACAGGGGAUUGCCCCACCUGAAGCUCUUGUGACCAGAGAGAGAAACAAGGUUUCUGUGGAGGCCCAGAGGGGUCCUUCAACCCUGCUUGGAGGACAGUACUGGGGUGGAGAGGGUCAAGUAGAGAUUCCCAAAAGUAACAUCUCAACUGAGCAGUCUGAUCCUUAGCAAGGUUCGGGCCCUUUGGCCUUGCCUACCCUGGCCUUGGUUGUUUUGCUAACCAGAGCCAGCUGUGUUGUGGGUGUCUUUUCCUCUCUCCUGGUGUCCCCGCCUGGACCCUUCACUCUUUGCCUCCCACGCCCUGGCAUUACACAGGCAUUUUCAGACCCUUUCCCAGGAUUCUGUUUAUAGCCAGCAUCCUGUGCAGCUCAUGAGGAGUCAUAAGCCCAUGAUGAGAUAAGAGGAGGAACUUGGAAGAAAACAUGAUGAACAUGGACAAAGCCAAGGGGAAAAAUAUGCAUGUUUUCAUUUGCUUUUCCCAAACAGGAUGCUUUCACACCACUGUCUAUAAUUCAAACAGUAUGUUUCUGCUUAACAUACUGUGAAGAUGUGAAGCCACAUGAGAAAUGUUCUCCCAAGAUGGAGUUAGUGUCCCUCCUGGAGCUCCCUCAGCACCCUGUGCUCCCACAUUUCAAAGGAUCACUCACACCCUAGCCCAUUUCCUCACUGUCUAAUGUUCUCCACAGACCCCUAAGAUCCUUCUAGAGCCAUGACCAGCCUUGCUUGAGGUUGUAUGGCAUAUACCCUGUGCACAGUGAAUGCUGAAUAAAUAACUGCUCCGUUGAACUGAAUAGAAUAAAACAGCAUAGAUACUAGUUUGGUCAAAUUUUAAAACAUCAGAACUUCAACUCUCAUUUUGGAAGGUGGGGAUGUGAUUAAAAUUCAAUUUUAAUUGAUUAUUUCUCAGAAAACAUAAAAAUGUUCCUACAAUUCUCAAAUAGCUAUUUACCAAUUUCAUUUUCAACCUGAUUUGACACUCUGAUGAGGGGGGAAGGUUGAGUACAUCAUAAAAACUUCAGUUUACCUCUAACUUGUGAUUGUGUGUGAAGAAAGAGCACAGGAUAUAGAAGAGGGAAAAAUGCUUUGAAAACUCUAAAAGUGGGUUGCAAAUGUUAGUUUGUUUUCACACAAUGGACACAAAAAUCGCCCGUGCAUUCAGUCACUUGCAGACUGAAGCAAACAGCUGUAUUUGGAUGAGGCAGAGGAAUGGUGGGAGGAACUGUUUCUUGUUGCACUGAGCAUUCAGUUGUUCUGGGCUUUGCCCAAGGAAAAACAGAUGGUUUUCCUUGCUGGAAUUGGUCAGGGAGGGCAGGGGAAGUGCCCAGGCUUUGCUUUCCCAUAAUUGACAGUACAGAGUUUUAAGAAAUAUUUGAACAGUAGCACUGUUCUGGUACCUACUUGGGAAAGCCAAUUCUUGAUUUUAAAAAAUCAAAUCAAAGCAGUGACAGUGACAUAUUCUGCUUCCAUUUCAUACCAUUCCUGACUUCUUAGAAGCAGUUGAUGCUAGUGGUCUUCUCUGGCAGGGAUUGCUAGCCCUGGCUUUGCAGCAGCCCAUGGAGCUGCCAGUUCUCCAGGGUAAUUGCAAAAUACUGCUAAGUAUUCUAAAAAUGAAAUUAAAUAUUCAUUUUAUUUUAAUUUACAUGUGCCAUCCAAUACUUUUAGAAGAUGUCAGUACCAUGGAAUGACAUGACCAACAAUAAUAUGUUGCAACUCUGAGAUACAGCUAGAAAUUCUCCGAAUAAGAUGCUGAUGGUCCUGCAGUCCAAUGCUGUGUGAUUUUCACUGUGGCCAGCUAUACAAGACUUAGCGUAUACUUCUCUCUGUGUAACUGUAAAAAAUUUUGUAAGUCUAAGAGGGUAAUAUAUUCUUUCAUAAAACCUCAAUCUAGUGAGUUCUAAUCAUUCUUGAUCUUUCUCAAAUAAAUACUAGUCAAAUCUUUCCCAAUAACUAAGUAACUAAGCAUUCACGUUUUACAACUGUAAUGUAGUUUUGGUAUGAGAAAACUAUUUCCUGGUCUCCAGGAUCUAGAAAGUAAACAUGUAACAAACAAUUAGGAAUGUGGUAUCGGGUAGUCAGAUGUUCUACACGUCUCCAGCCUAAGCUGUCCACUUCGGAUUUCUUGCUCUUUUCCUUUUUGCUUAAGCAUAUCUUGGUAUGUUGCCUGGAAGUUUAUGUGUGUUACUACAGCAGAACAAAGAAUUAUGUAAUAUAAAGCCCAACUUGUUUUUCUUUUCCCUACCAGCUGUACUAUAACUUAGACAAAACUCAACCAUUUUCUUUCAUUAUGUACAGUGGCUAUUAAAAAGAAAGGAUGUAGAAAAAUUUUUUUCAGGAAACAGUGGAAAACUAAUGCGUCAUGAUCUGCUUAACAGGGGACUGUAAAUAGAAGCAAGUCCAGAUCAUGGAAAUUGCUUCUUUAAAAUAUUUUUUUUCAAUUUUAAAAGGAAUACAUUCACAUGGUUUAAAAAAACCCCUCAAACUAAAGAAGAAUACAGAAUAAGAAGUAAAAGUUCUACCCUCCAACCUACUACCCCAACUCCUGAAUCCCACUGCCAAGAGAAACAGUCAUUUGUUGUGCAUCUUUCUAGAAGAAUUCUAUGCAUAUUACAGAGGUGUCACAAAUACCCACAUGCUUUCUUCCCUUACAAGCUCUGUGACUUGAUUUUUCUCUUUACUGUGCUUUAAGCAUCUUUGCAUAUUAGUAAACAUAUACACCUCAGUUAAAAAAAAUCAACAGCUGGGUGUAGUGGUGCAUACCUGUAGUCCCAGCAAUUUGGGAGGCAGAGAGGCAGGAAGAUCCCCUGAGCCCAGGAAUUCUAAUCUACCCUGGGCAUCUUGGCAAGACCCUGUCUCUUAAGAAAAAAACUAUCGC
RNAcentral lists this long non-coding RNA (11471 nucleotides) under Homo sapiens (human). RNAcentral describes it as "non-protein coding lnc-HAO2-2:12". The record is from RNAcentral. Lineage: Eukaryota; Metazoa; Chordata; Mammalia; Primates; Hominidae.